Molecule: ribosomal RNA, 452 nt
Filed under: Scapholeberis mucronata
Lineage: Eukaryota; Metazoa; Arthropoda; Branchiopoda; Diplostraca; Daphniidae
Description: partial 16S ribosomal RNA
Rfam family: Bacterial large subunit ribosomal RNA
Source: RNAcentral
CACCUUUAGAAAUAUUAAAGGCACCGCCUGCUCAAUGCUUUAAAGUAAAUAGCCGCAGUAUUUUGACUGUGCUAAGGUAGCAUAAUCAUUAGUCUCUUAAUUGGAGGCUGGUAUGAAUGGCGAGACGAGAAAGCUGCUGUCUCCAAUAGAAAUCUCGAAUUUUAUUUCUGGGUGAAAAAGCCCAGAUGGCUUUGAAGGACGAUCAGACCCUAUGGAGCUUUUUCGUUGGGGCGACGAAGAGAAUUAAAUAACACUCUUUUCCAAGAACAAUAAUCAGUGGAUUAGUGAUCCUCACCGAGAGAUCAGAAGACCAAGUUACCCUAGGGAUAACAGCGUAAUCCCCUAAGAGAGUUCAAAUCGAUAAGGGGGUUUGCGACCUCGAUGUUGGAUUAAGAAAUUAGCGGGGUGCAGAAGCUCCGUUAAAAAGUCUGUUCGACUUUUGAUUUCUUACA